GGUCUUCCAGCCAUUCUCAAGACUAGAAGUGUACAGCUUUGCGCAAGGGCAACUUCUCUGCAUGGCAGAGGUGAGGGGAAAUGAAAAUGAUGCUGGGACUAAGUGUCGCCUCUCUGAGAAGUGUCGCAGUCGCAGUCAUGUGGCAUGUCUGUUACAUUUCCCAGAAUGGUUCCCAGCGCUGGAGCUAAUUCCUUUUCGGAGAACCUACAUUUCUCACCUGCUGAUUGCAAUUAGCCACUGCCAGCUGGGGCCUGGUAUGCAGCGGAAAAGCUAACAAGAAGUAGAGACCGCGCGGAACCCAGACAGGGCAGAGGAUGUGCAUAAGUUUUGUUGAAACUGUCAACAGGGCAAGAGGUGAAUGCAGCAAAUCGUAAGGAGAAGACCUGAAUGAGGCAACAACAGAUGCUCACAAUGAUGGCAACUGCUGAAGUUGAUGGGUAAUGAUUUUGCGGCAUCGUCUCCACUGACUCGGGCCCUCCUCCACCCUGGCUGCUGCCGAAGACCCCAGGAAGCAUGGCCCUGACCUCUGUUUAGUCUCCAUUCAGGAGCAGCCGGCCACCAUGUUGUAAGGCAACCCUGUGCCUGAGGCCAGCCAGCAGCCCUAAGAGUGGGCUUAGGAGCAGAUCCUGCCCCCACCGAGCCUGGAAAUGGGACUGCAACCCCAGUGAUACCUGGACUGAAGCCUCGUGAGGGACACCGAGCCAGAGAACCCAGCUAAGCCGCGUCCAAAUUCCUGACCUUCAGAGAUGGGUUUGGGCCUGAGGUGUGUGAUGAUCCCAUCUGCGCUCUUGUAUCUCACGAGGCCGAUGAAGCCGCACCUUCAGGACUGCUCACUUGCGUGGACCUCUUUUUUGUACAUUUGCGAAAGUACAAGUGCGGCGUGUGCUUGGACAACCCUCGGGCCCUCUACAUAUAAGCGAUUUAUAGCCGGGUCUGAAUGGAUUGGAAUCAGAUGGCAAAACCCAGAUUAACCCCCUGGAUCCUGGUGGCCAUUGGUCAGUCUUUGCUGUUAAUGAUACUUUCACCCGAGUGAAUGCAUUAAAGACGUUCCUUUUAAGAUAAAUAUGCAGCUCGGUCCCUGAUGUCUGCCUGUCGCAAAAACGUGUGAUGGGAGACCAAAUGUCAAUAAAAUCUCCCUGCCCGCCUCAACCCGGUACAUAAUCAGCUCGAAGGUAAAUAAAUGCAAAGGAAUGCAAAGCCAGAGACGUUAGCGUACUCGCCAGAGCCACACCAGUAAUAAGAGGCAGAGCCAGAGUUGCAACCCAGUCAGCUGCGGCGUCUACCUCUCCCCAGCCUCCCAGCCUGGGAAAUUCAAGAAAUCGAAUGCAUCAUCUCUGAGGGGAAAAGGAGAUAAAGGUCCAGAACCCAUCCAAACGCUUCGUUCGGACCAGAUCUUUUCCAAAGGGAACGCACCAGAUGAUGGGCAUGAAAGGCCCUUAGAAAUGAGAUCAAUCUCGGCCUCUCUCUGAGGACAGCACUCAGGACCAGAGACUGGAGCCGGCUUGUUCAAGGUCACUCGGCGAGCUAAUGGAAGACCCGGGGCCACAGGUCAGAGGUCAUGGUUCACUGCACUAUUUUAUUCUGCACAUACACACAAAAAUGAUUUGGGGAAAUUCUUUAGCAAAGGCAGAAGAGUGAAAGCUGGCAAAUUUUGGAUGGAAAUUUAAGACAGAGCAUGAGUCAGAUCUCUUUAAAGUAUCACUCAGUGUUUUUGCUGUGACAGUACAUAAAAAUAACACUAGCUAACUAGUUUAGUGAAGGCUUGCCACCAGCCAGACACUGCCUUAAACACUUGACACACUUUUUUGCAUUUAAAUCUCCAAACGAUGCUCUGAGAAAGGAAUCCAUUUCACAGAUGAGGAAACUGAGACUUAGGGAAAGGAACUUUCCCAAAGGUACCCGGAUAGGGCAAUUUUGACAGCGGCUGGAGCAUAACAACACUCUGAAAUUCACAGCCAUUCUCGUCAUAUGUCCCUUAGAUUUCUGAUGCUGAGAUUGAGCCUCGUAUUCAGUCUAUGCGGGCACCAUCUGCAGCUGUAGAGGCCUUGUUCUAAACAUCUCACGUCAGCCCUGCCAAAGUGCAGCUUUGCAAGUGAGCCCCCAGAAACCCAUUCAUUCAUUUAUCCAUUCAAUAAUUUUUUUUCUUUUUAGGGCUGCACCCGCUGCAUUCGACCCCUAGUUCCUGGGCUAGGGGUCGAAUUGGAGCUGGAGCUGCCGGCUUAUACCACAGCCACAGCAACAUGAGACCUGAGCUGGUGACCUACACCUCAGCUCACAGCAACACCAGAUCCUUAACCCACUGAGUGAGGCCACGGAUGGAACCAGCAUCCUCAGGGAUACUAGUCAGGUUCUUAACCCACUGAGCCACAAUGGGAACCCUAUUCAAUAAUUUUUAUUUAUGGCCAGAAGCAGUCCAGACACUGAGGGAAACAUGAAGAAAUGUAAAACACAACUCGUCUCUCAAGUAAUUCCCAGUCUAUCUAGGGAUCAAUGCCCCUAAGUCCAGCAUGAAGAUCUGGGAGAUAGGAGAGAUUUAAAACAUCCUGGCCCAACUUCCUACCCAAGGCAAGAAGCCCCCCUACCCUAUUCCCACCAGAUCCAGCUUCUGCUGAAAUAAGUCUGGAGACAGAGGAUUUAGGGCUCAACCAUGCAGGAAGCCAGAUCUUUCCAGUUCUAAUUGUGAGAAAGACAAAAACAACAACAACAACAAAACCUCUCUCUGAUUUUAAGCUGAAAUUCAGCUUCUGGUAACGUUUGCCCUCCUGGCACGUUCACAGGCCGCUGUCCCAUCUUCCCUGAGUCAUUUGUGUGCCCUAAAUGGUUCCUCAGGCAAGUCCUCACCAUCCAUCUCCAGGUGCCAAUUCCUUCCCACAAGGCUCCCUUCGUGGAAGGUGUAUAGGGGGCGUCACAAGACACGAUAUUGAUUAAUUUGCUAAAUCUGUGCUUUCUGGGGUGUUCCGUAGAACACUAGUUCCACAGAGCUUAAGUAAGUACGUGCUCCAGCAAAAUAAACGCCCAUCCAUUAUUCCAUCCGAGAAAUCUCGGCAAAGCCAACCAGGUUCCAUUACUGAAACUUACCACCUCCAAGGUUAUGAGAGACUCGUGUAAGCCUGCAAAAGCGGAUACGGAAUGCUGUGAUGUCCCCCAGUCUUUUCAUGCCAGACUGGACUCUGCUCACGGAGCAUUUCCCAGAGACACUGUUCCUCAGAGAACUUUUGGGAGAAACGUAAGUUAAAAACAAACAAACAAACAAAAGUAAUCCAGACAGUGAGCCCAUAAGCACUAAAGACCAUUCUGAAGCUGGAUGGCGGGGCGGAAGCCAUCUUUUCCUGCCGCCCCCACUUGGCACUCAACAGAUCUGUGCCCAUGGCCUUGACUUCCGAUGGCCAGCACUGCAUGUCUGCCUGAGAGCUUUGCAGCUACUGGAGACGGUACCCACGAUGGCAACGGGCUGGAAUUCCUAGAAAUCCAGCGGCCCUCCUCCCCCAGAGCAGCUGUCAACCCAGACGGACAGGCGGGCUCCUCCACCCUUGGUGGAGAUGACUCAAGGGCAUGGUUCCGCUGGAGGUUCCUUUCCAUCCCGCCUCAUUUCCUCGCGCCUCUGCUGCUUUUUCCUGCCAUCUCCUUCCACAGAAACGAUUGGCACUCCAGUCCCGUCCGGGCUCUGCUUUUGGUGGAAUGGGACUGGGCCAUCAUCUUCUUCUGCACCAGAUGCACGCGCCUCACAAAUCUCGCCCUGCCUCGGUCUCCCCACGUGUUUUUCUAGGGCUUGGGGACUCAGUCUGGCCAGGAUGGAAGAGGACUCCAGACAGGGAAACAUGGGAAAGGGGGGGCAGCUCUCGGGCACAUAAAUCACUGUGCAGCCGAGAGCUCUGCUGCUCCCAAGCCUGCAAGGUAAUUCCCAGGGCUGCGAAUAACUUGGCAAGCAACCCGCAAGUCAGGGCGGGACGCGGGGCCAAGCUUCUGGGUCGCUUGUCUCCAUUUUUUACUGUGGGUGUAACCUUGAUCCCUCUGCAGAGGUAAACAACGGGGUCUGAAUUAUUUGGUUUGGAAAAGGAAGAGGCCCCAGGGAGGUACGCGCCGCAGUAAUAAAUGCGGAGGAGAAACAGCUGUGCGCCGCUCGCCCGCCGCCCUCCCUCAGCGCCACCCCGGGCCGUCUCUGAAGGCGGAAAGGCAUCGCUCUCCCCGUCCCAAGUAUGGGCCGGCGUUGCCGAAGCCACAAAUCACCAAGAAAAGUGCAGAAGAAAGUUCGCCAUUUCUUGGAAUGGAGAUCAUAAUAAAUAAUAAUAAUCU
Molecule: long non-coding RNA, 4293 nt
Filed under: Sus scrofa (pig)
Lineage: Eukaryota; Metazoa; Chordata; Mammalia; Artiodactyla; Suidae
Description: lncRNA (ENSSSCG00025072409.1)
Source: RNAcentral